This 253-nucleotide ribosomal RNA is filed under the name uncultured bacterium. RNAcentral's name for it is "partial 16S ribosomal RNA". It matches the Rfam family "Bacterial small subunit ribosomal RNA", at positions 524 to 776 of the family's 1533-position model. The record is from RNAcentral.
UACAGAGGUGGCAAGCGUUGUUCGGAAUUACUGGGCGUAAAGGGCGCGUAGGCGGCCAUCUAAGUCAGACGUGAAAUCCCCCGGCUUAACCUGGGAACUGCGUCUGAUACUGGAAGGCUUGAGUAUGGGAGAGGGAUGUAGAAUUCCAGGUGUAGCGGUGAAAUGCGUAGAUAUCUGGAGGAAUACCGGUGGCGAAGGCAGCUUGCUGGGCUACUCCUGACACUGAGGUACGAAAGCGUGGGGAGCAAACAGG